Molecule: unclassified non-coding RNA, 266 nt
Filed under: Hevea brasiliensis (rubber tree)
Lineage: Eukaryota; Viridiplantae; Streptophyta; Magnoliopsida; Malpighiales; Euphorbiaceae
Source: RNAcentral
CCAUCUCCUUGAUUCUUGCUUGAGUAUUGUCAGCCUUCAAAAGUCCGGCCUGGAAGCAAGAGCCAUUGCUACUUAGGAAUGUUUGUAGCAACAAUGGCCCCGGUAGAUCAAGGCGAAGGUGGAGUCCUCAGGACCCACCACUUUGACGUUGGGUGGCUGAGCGCCCGCCGCAACAGAAUAGGUAUGGGCCUUCUUAACGUCGGGCCCGACAAUGAAGCUCACCUCCUUGUCCGGGGAGCUCACAGUGAUGAACUGCCCCAAGACGC